AUUCCAGCUCCAAUAGCGUAUAUUAAUGUUGUUGCAGUUAAAAAGCUCGUAGUUGGAUCUCUAACGCACGCGGCCGGUCCGCCCCUCACGGGGUGUGCACUGCGCCGUCGCGCGUUAUCCUGGGGGAGAGCGUCCCGCGCAUUAGGUUGUGUGGGUCGGGAUCCUCCACGUUUACUCAAAAUAAAUAAGAGUGUUCAAAGCAGGCGAUUGCUGUGAAUUCUUCAGUUGGGAAUAAUAAGAUAGGACUCGGGGACUAUUUUGUUAGUUUGCAUCUCCGAGUAAUGAUUAAUAGGGACAGUUGGAGAUAUUCAUAUUCAGUUGUCAGAGGUGAAAUUCUUGGAUUUACGGAAGAUGAACUACUGCGAAAGCAUUUAUCGAGGAUGUUUUCAUUG
RNAcentral lists this ribosomal RNA (392 nucleotides) under Stramenopiles sp. RNAcentral describes it as "partial small subunit ribosomal RNA". It matches the Rfam family "Eukaryotic small subunit ribosomal RNA", at positions 582 to 975 of the family's 1831-position model. The record is from RNAcentral.